CNACCUGCCGAUAACUCAGGGAUAGCCUUUCGAAAGAAAGAUUAAUACCUGAUGGCAUAGGAUUNNNNCAUGAUAAUCCUAUUAAAGAAUUUCGGUUAUCGAUGGGGAUGCGUUCCAUUAGGCAGUUGGUGAGGUAACGGCUCACCAAACCUUCGAUGGAUAGGGGUUCUGAGAGGAAGGUCCCCCACAUUGGAACUGAGACACGGUCCAAACUCCUACGGGAGGCAGCAGUGAGGAAUAUUGGUCAAUGGACGGGAGUCUGAACCAGCCAAGUAGCGUGAAGGAUGACUGCCCUAUGGGUUGUAAACUUCUUUUAUACGGGAAUAAAAUGAUCCACGUGUGGAUUUUUGUAUGUACCGUGUGAAUAAGGAUCGGCUAACUCCGUGCCAGCAGCCGCGGUAAUACGGAGGAUCCAAGCGUUAUCCGGAUUUAUUGGGUUUAAAGGGAGCGUAGGUUGACAUAUAAGUCAGCUGUGAAAGUUUACGGCUCAACCGUGAAAUUGCAGUUGAUACUGUAUGUCUUGAGUGUACAAGAGGUGGGCGGAAUUCGUGGUGUAGCGGUGAAAUGCUUAGAUAUCACGAAGAACUCCGAUUG
Molecule: ribosomal RNA, 594 nt
Filed under: uncultured Bacteroidota bacterium
Lineage: Bacteria; Pseudomonadati; Bacteroidota
Description: bacterial SSU rRNA
Rfam family: Bacterial small subunit ribosomal RNA
Source: RNAcentral